Molecule: ribosomal RNA, 577 nt
Filed under: uncultured eukaryote
Lineage: Eukaryota
Description: SSU rRNA
Rfam family: Eukaryotic small subunit ribosomal RNA
Source: RNAcentral
CCCCACGACUCGGCCGCGUCGACUCCAGCUCCAAUAGCGUAUAUUAAAGUUGUUGCAGUUAAAAAGCUCGUAGUUGAAACUUGGGCCUGGCUGGCCGGUCCGCCUCACCGCGUGUACUGGUCCGCCGGGCCUUUCCUUCUGGAGAGCCCCAUGCCCUUCACUGGGUGUGCGGGGGAACCAGGACUUUUACUUUGAAAAAUUAGAGUGUUUAAAGCAGGCCUUUGCUCGAAUACGUUAGCAUGGAAUAAUAGAAUAGGACGUGCGAUCCUAUUUGUUGGUUUCUAGGACCGCCGUAAUGAUUAAUAGGGACAGUCGGGGGCAUCAGUAUUCAAUUGUCAGAGGUGAAAUUCUUGGAUUUAUUGAAGACUAACUACUGCGAAAGCAUUUGCCAAGGAUGUUUUCAUUAAUCAGUGAACGAAAGUUAGGGGAUCGAAGACGAUCAGAUACCGUCGUAGUCUUAACCGUAAACUAUGCCGACUAGGGAUCGGGCGAUGUUUUAUCUUGACUCGCUCGGCACCUUACGAGAAAUCAAAGUUUUGGGUUCUGGGGGGAGUAUGGUCGCAAGGCUGAAACUUAA